Molecule: non-coding RNA, 1495 nt
Organism: Erythranthe guttata (spotted monkey flower)
Lineage: Eukaryota; Viridiplantae; Streptophyta; Magnoliopsida; Lamiales; Phrymaceae
Source: RefSeq, a predicted model, not a curated record
AAUUUACCCUAUUUUUAUGAAAAUAAAAGUCGGUCGGUCAACAAGAGAAGAAUCAAGAAAAGUCAAAUAUGACGACAAAAGCUUCCAAUUUACACUUCCGUUGAAUGCAUUGAGGAUUUCCCACUUUCCAUGAUCACCCUAUAAAUUCAUUCUCACACCAAUUUCAUUUAAUUCAAACCCAUCGUUCAAGAAAGAAAAAAAAAACGCACAAACACGCACUGAAAAGAGAGAGAAAAAAAAACCAGAAAAAUCAGUAGAAAUGGGGAGUAAUAAUAAGCAGGUGAUUUUGAAAAGCUACGUGAAUGGUUCUCCAAAGGAAUCCGAUAUGGAGCUGAAAGCAUCAACGAUUGAGCUGAAAAUUCCAGAAGGAUGCAACGACGCCGUUUUGGUGAAGAAUCUGUACUUGUCGUGUGAUCCUUAUAUGCUUGGCCGUAUGAAGAAACUCGAUGGCCAUUACGUCGAUUCGCUUACCCUAGGCGCUCCUAUUAUUGGAUAUGGAGUAUCGAGAGUAAUGGAAUCUUCUCAUCCGGACUACGAGAAAGACGACCUUCUUUGGGGCUUCGUUGGAUGGGAAGAGUACACCCUUAUAACCAAUUUGACCACUUGCUUUAAAAAUCCAACACAAAGACGUUCCUCUCUCUUACUAUACCGGACUUCUUGGUAUGGCUGGUAUGACGGCUUAUGCUGGAUUUUUCGAGCUUUGCACUCCGAAAAAGGGAGAAACCGUUUUCAUUUCCGCUGCAUCGGGAGCAGUUGGUCAACUCGUCGGUCAAUUUGCAAAGUUAAUGGGAUGUUAUGUCGUUGGAAGUGCUGGGUCCAAAGACAAGGUUGAUCUCCUGAAGAACAAAUUUGGAUUUGAUAACGCGUUUAACUACAAAGAAGAGUCGGAUUACAACGUCGCUUUGAAAAGAUAUUUCCCGGAUGGAAUCGACAUCUAUUUCGAGAACGUGGGAGGAAAGAUGCUUGAAGCGGUACUCAACAACAUGAGAAUCCACGGCCGAAUCGCAGUGUGUGGGAUGAUCUCGCAGUACAGCCUGGCGCAGCCAGAUGGGGUCCACAACUUGUUCAAUCUCAUAUCGAAAAGGAUAAAAAUGGAAGGAUUUCUCGUCAUGGAAUAUUACCAUCUUUACCCGAAAUUCAUCGAGAUGGUUCUUCCUCACAUCAAGAAAGGAGAUAUUACUUACGUCGAAGACUUUGCUGAAGGCCUUGAAAACGCGGCAUCGGCUCUAUUGGGUCUGUUCUCGGGGCGUAAUGUUGGAAAGCAAGUUGUUGUCGUUGCUCGUGAGUAGAUGUAUAUAUAUAGUAUGUAUGUAUGUAUGUAUCAUGUUUGUGUGAGUAGAGUCUUUGGCAACUUCAUUUAUUUGAACAGUAAACUUUGUACUUUUUUUCUGCCUAUAUUUUUUUUUUAACUUAUUAUUGACGAAUGUAAUUCAUUAAAUGAUAAAGGCCAAAUCUCAGUAAUAAUCCAUCGUCUAAGUAUUUUUCUCCCACUUUA